Molecule: ribosomal RNA, 253 nt
Filed under: uncultured bacterium
Lineage: Bacteria
Description: partial 16S ribosomal RNA
Rfam family: Bacterial small subunit ribosomal RNA
Source: RNAcentral
UACGUAGGGGGCAAGCGUUGUCCGGAUUUAUUGGGCGUAAAGAGCGUGUAGGCGGCCAUACAGGUCAGCUGUGAAAACUCGAGGCUCAACCUCGAGACGUCGGUUGAAACCGUAUGGCUAGAGUCCGGAAGAGGAGAGUGGAAUUCCCGGUGUAGCGGUGAAAUGCGCAGAUAUCGGGAAGAACACCCGUGGCGAAGGCGGCUCUCUGGGACGGUACUGACGCUGAGAUGCGAAAGCGUGGGGAGCAAACGGG